GCCGGGGGCGGGGAGGAGGAGGUAGGGGAGUAGUGAAAUGUGAAACUUUAAAAAUGAACACAAAAUUUUAAACCCUGAAAUUCUUUUAGCGGUUUGGUUUUAUUUAUUUCCAUUUGAUCAAAGGCACUAAUGCCCCUUCCUGGAACAAGCAAGAUCAUAACCAAAACGAAAGACCAGUGUGAGCACUGUGAAUACGGCCAAAAGCCAUUUCUCAAAGGGUUUCACAUUUCUAGCUACGUUCGAUAAGCUUGGCAACCUGGUGGGGUGGGUUCGGAGUCAAGCAAACUUUUAUCAGAAGUCCUUUAUUAAAUUAGUGGUUUUUGGUUUUUACUUCCUUGUUCCUUCACUCCAAGGAGAGUCCUUAGAAAGAAGGCAUACUUUGUGCUUGGCAUUUCGAGGAGGAAGUGGGUGUGUGUGUGCAGUCCAAGUGUCUACCGUAUCUGGAGACAAACGGAGAUGGGCUGGAAAUCAGUAUAGAGCGGAGAAGAAAGAGGAGAGAGACUCGGAAAUGAGACCACAGCUGCAGGGCUAGGAUCACAGCAAACCCUUGAAAAGGCAGCUGGAACAUGGAUUGAGUGGCGCCACCAAGCGUCUUCCUGAAGAACUACAUUCAGCAUCAAGCCGCCAUAGCUUUGAACUGUAUCUGUGAACAUCUGUGCUUUAUCUCGAUAUGUUCUGUGCAUCCCUUAUUAAGAUGAAUCUCAAGGGAUAAGAAACAUACCUGUAAUUGAGAGACUGUUCCAGAUUAAAGAAGGCAGAAGACAUAAUGACUGAAUGCCAUGUGUGAGCCAGGACUUGUUUAGAACAUGAGUGAUGAAAUCUGAAUAAAUUCUUCAGAUUAAUUAAUGAUUCCAUGUUAAUGUUAAUUUUAUGAUUUUGAAAAAUGGGACUUUGGAAAUAGAUGGGAAUGUCUGCUUAUUUUGAGAAAAUACAUGAAUAUAUGUAAGAAUAAAGGGACAGCAUUUCUGCAGAAUAUCUCAAACAAUUCAAAAAAGAGGGAGAGAAAAAAAUAACAAAGGUAACAGGAUGGCAUUAGGGAAUUUUGGAGAAGACUAGAAAGAUACUGUUAAUUAUUUGUAUAUUCUUGGAAUUUUUUUUACAAG
Bubalus bubalis (water buffalo) is the source of this 1103-nucleotide long non-coding RNA. RefSeq lists it as uncharacterized. The record is from RefSeq and is a predicted model, not a curated record. The transcript has 3 exons. NCBI's taxonomy places the organism in Eukaryota, Metazoa, Chordata, Mammalia, Artiodactyla, Bovidae.